Molecule: ribosomal RNA, 497 nt
Filed under: uncultured bacterium
Lineage: Bacteria
Description: partial 16S ribosomal RNA
Rfam family: Bacterial small subunit ribosomal RNA
Source: RNAcentral
GACGAACGCUGGCGGCGUGCCUAAUACAUGCAAGUUGAGCGCUGAAGGUUGGUACUUGUACCAACUGGAUGAGCAGCAAACGGGUGAGUAACGCGUGGGGAAUCUGCCUUUGAGCGGGGGACAACAUUUGGAAACGAAUGCUAAUACCGCAUAAAAACUUUAAACACAAGUUUUAAGUUUGAAAGAUGCAAUUGCAUCACUCAAAGAUGAUCCCGCGUUGUAUUAGCUAGUUGGUGAGGUAAAGGCUCACCAAGGCGAUGAUACAUAGCCGACCUGAGAGGGUGAUCGGCCACAUUGGGACUGAGACACGGCCCAAACUCCUACGGGAGGCAGCAGUAGGGAAUCUUCGGCAAUGGACGAAAGUCUGACCGAGCAACGCCGAGUGAGUGAAGAAGGUUUUCGGAUCGUAAAACUCUGUUGGUAGAGAAGAACGUUGGUGAGAGUGGAAAGCUCAUCAAGUGACGGUAACUACCCAGAAAGGGACGGCUAACUACGUG